UUGAUGGUUUUUCACAGAGUGAAUUUAUUUUAUCUUUAAACUUUUUUUUACAGAAAAAGAAAGAAGGCUCUCAUGGUUCUCUUCAUGAUAGCUCAUCCUGUGUCCUCCGGGGAGGACUUUUUAUCUUACUUUUUCUCUUCUUUUGGGCCCAAGAUCACUCUGCAGAGCCAGUUUCUUCCUCAAUCGUCAUUUUUACUUUUCAAAUAAACUUUGUCCUUUUCUGUUCAUUUCAUUCAAUUCUUUGUUCAAGGUGAGAAGAAUGUGGAAUCCAACUCCAGCAGGAGAGGCAAGCAACCCAAAGCCCAAACUGAAAAGCAUUUGGUGAGAAGCCUUAGAUCAGAUGGAGAACAUCUGGCCCACCUGCUGUGAGAAAGUACACAACACCUGCAUGAGAAGAAGCCGGCUGUUUUGGGAUGACCCAUCAACACCUAUACAAACCAUGCCUAAAUCAGCUUCCCAGCAAGAUAGACUUUGCUUGUUUGUUUUGUUUUUGACACAGGGUCUUGCUAUGUAGUUCAGGCUAGCCUUGAACUCACUAUGUAGCUCAGGCUGGCCUAAAACUAGGAGCAAUCCUCCUGACUCAGCCUCCCGAGUGCUGGGAUGACAGGCAUGCACCACCACGCCACCUGUAAGAUGGACUUUGGACAUGAGUCCUCCAUCUUGUUGAGCAGCUGGCUUUUUGAAUAAAGUCAUUUUCCAAGAGAAGAGAAGAGAAGAGAAGAGAAGCAAAGCAUGUUGGUGCACACACCUGUAAUCCAGGACUCAGGAGGCUGAUAGGAGAAUCACCAUGAGCUCGAGGCCAGCUUGGGCUACACAAUGAGUAAGCCAGCCUGAACUACAUAGUGAGACCCUGUCUCAAAAAAAAGAAAGUUCAAAGAAAAGAGAAAGGUGUUAAGACUCAACAGCACCAUUUUCCACACCCCAGCACCACGGGCUGCAACAUGAUGUUCCUGUAGUGCAGGAGGAGCCACACUGAGGAGCUCUGCUGACUGCACCUCUGCUGCCACCGGGUUUCCCUCGGCUCCAGGAAGAGCAUGGAGCACAAUCACAGGGUGAGAGCUGGCAUUGUUACAAUACUGGCUUCCACUCCAUACCCAGUUCAAGAAACCCAGGGGCCAAAUUAAAACAUAAUCAUUCUGAGUAACAUUUAUACUGCAGCCACUAUGAGCAUGGAGUGCACUGUGCACCCUCCAGAAAAAAAAAAAUUAUUUUUCAUCACAAAGUUCCUUGUAUUAGCAACAAAGAUUCUGCAAAACAAUAGUGGUGCCCCCCCUUCUUCUUUUGUUUUUAGCUAUGUAAUCCAGGCUGGCCUUGAACUCACUAUGUACCCCAGGCUGGCUUUGAACUUGCUGAAAUCCCCCUGCCUCAGCCUCCCAAGUGCUAGGAUCAUAGGCGUGAGCCACCAUGUCUGGCUUACCCCUCUCUUCUUUUUUUUUGGUACCAGGGAUCUAACCUGGGACCUUGUGCUUGGGAGGCAGGCGGUGGAACCACUGAGCUAAAUCCCCAUCCCUCCCCCUCUCUUCUUAAUGCAAUUGAGGGCGAAGUCAGUGCCUGAGAAGCUGGCUGGAGCAACUUUAAAGUACAAUGAACUAUUUCAGUGUAGAAUGAAUUGCAAAGUGGUAACAUUAAGCAAGAUAUAGUUAAAAAUACAGUAGCAAAUAUUUACCCCAUUACUAUUUGGUAAAAAGAUCUUGAAUCGUUUUUUCUUGUUUUUUUGGUGAAGGGAUGAAACCCUGGGCUCCAUACACUCAGAAGCAGGACCCUGAAUCUGCAAAACUUAUUUUUGGUGGACCAAAAGGUACCUGCUUCCUACCAUUGUUGAUUUUUCAUAAAAGUUCAACAUCAAAAGAACCUGUUGCUCCCUGCAUUUUCUUUAGGGCUACACUGCCCUCAAGGUUUGUCUACACAUGGGCCGGGAAUUUAGCUCAGUGGUGCCACCACCUGCCCUGCAAGCACAAGGACCCGAGUUCCAUCCCUGGUACCAAACAAACAAACAAACAAAAAGAUUUGUCUACACACUUUCAGAAGGAAAAUUUAAAAGAUGAAAAUUUUUUUCCAAUCCUACCGAUAUCUACCAACAUACAACAUCCUAGCAGAUACAAGGAUAUACAUGCAUUCAUGGCAUUAACCACCAGAGUGAGGGUGUCACCAUGUCACAGAGCCUCUAGGGAUGACACUGUACACCUGUGAGAGAACAAGUAAAAAGGCAAUAACUUGGGAAAAGUUACUAUGAAACACCUGCUUAUGUGCAUAGGAAAUAGUCGCCUCUGGAUUCUAAAUAACAGAAUUUCUAGUGCUAUUAAGAAUUUAGUAUUUGUGGGCUGGGGAUUUAGCUCAGUGGUUUCGCCGCCUGCUGCGCAAGCGCAAGGACCUGAGUUUGAUCCCCAGUACCAAAAAAAAGAAACAAAAGAAUUUAGUAUUUGAUAUAUAAUGUUGAUUUUCCAAAAACAAAAUGUCCUGCAAACCUAAGUCAUAAAUCUCUGAGACGCCGAAGAAGAUAUCUUUACCCCGGCCCCAGCUGCCCACUGGCCCGUGAGAUGACACGGAAGACAGGCAGCGCUGUAUAACAUGGAGCACUGAAUGCCAGGUCGGGUCAGGACUCGGGCAUCCCAGAAUGCACUUGGUCCCAGAUGCUGUCAAACCAGCUGAGGUGAGGUGACGUCACAAAUGAACAACAUGGUACCGUGAAAUCUCAAAUUACAACAGGAUUCCACCAAGAGAAAGUAGAGGUCUCUGGAGAGAAACUGACCCUGAAAACACCAACACAUAAAUCCCACAUGAGUGGUGCAGAGAUGGUGGUGACACUGUGUGCCACACACAGACUAAACUAUGUGACACUACUAGCAGUAAGCACGGCUGCUGUGGAAAUGCAUUUAUUCACAAGUGAUUUGUGCGGCCUCACUGAACGCUGGACACAUCCUUGCAACUCAGCAACCUUCACACAGGUUCGGGGAAGAAGUCAAGAACACAUAGGAAGAAUCAAGGUAAGAAUAAGGCAUGGAGGAAAGAGAAGGGAGAGGAUGUGGAUGAAGAGGAGCAGGAGGCAGGAGGAGGCGCUGGAGCUGGACUGAGGGCUGCGGGGCUUACAUUCUUCCAGAACUCUCUGUAUGGUCCUGUGCAUGUCAUUGUUUCUUUACAGCCA
Molecule: long non-coding RNA, 3142 nt
Filed under: Heterocephalus glaber (naked mole-rat)
Lineage: Eukaryota; Metazoa; Chordata; Mammalia; Rodentia; Bathyergidae
Description: lncRNA (ENSHGLG00000033678.1)
Source: RNAcentral